Molecule: ribosomal RNA, 549 nt
Filed under: uncultured bacterium
Lineage: Bacteria
Description: bacterial SSU rRNA
Rfam family: Bacterial small subunit ribosomal RNA
Source: RNAcentral
UAGGGAAUCUUCGGCAAUGGACGGAAGUCUGACCGAGCAACGCCGCGUGAGUGAAGAAGGUUUUCGGAUCGUAAAGCUCUGUUGUAAGAGAAGAACGAGUGUGAGAGUGGAAAGUUCACACUGUGACGGUAUCUUACCAGAAAGGGACGGCUAACUACGUGCCAGCAGCCGCGGUAAUACGUAGGUCCCGAGCGUUGUCCGGAUUUAUUGGGCGUAAAGCGAGCGCAGGCGGUUAGAUAAGUCUGAAGUUAAAGGCUGUGGCUUAACCAUAGUAGGCUUUGGAAACUGUUUAACUUGAGUGCAAGAGGGGAGAGUGGAAUUCCAUGUGUAGCGGUGAAAUGCGUAGAUAUAUGGAGGAACACCGGUGGCGAAAGCGGCUCUCUGGCUUGUAACUGACGCUGAGGCUCGAAAGCGUGGGGAGCAAACAGGAUUAGAUACCCUGGUAGUCCACGCCGUAAACGAUGAGUGCUAGGUGUUAGACCCUUUCCGGGGUUUAGUGCCGCAGCUAACGCAUUAAGCACUCCGCCUGGGGAGUACGACCGCAAGGUU